This 478-nucleotide long non-coding RNA is filed under the name Danio rerio (zebrafish). RNAcentral describes it as "si:dkey-6a5.11 (ENSDARG00000097457.2)". Lineage: Eukaryota; Metazoa; Chordata; Actinopteri; Cypriniformes; Danionidae. The record is from RNAcentral.
UCGUCUGCAGGCUAUAUGUGAUGUUCUGUGGCUUAGCGAGCAGGGGUCGAUAACAUCCAGACUCAGCCAAAACCAGAUCGCCCUGAACAGUAUGUAAUUGGCCUGUAUAAUUGGUUCCACACUCUGCUGUAGUAGGAGUGAAGGUAGAAGACCCUCAUGCUGUAGGGUAAACUGAGCCAACCACGGGUGCAACACUCCUGUCCACUGCCGUACCGGUGGAGCGCCCGCAGCAUGAGCCGCUCUCUGGCUUUAUUUGCUGGCAUCAGUGCCAAGCUCUCCUUGGCGUUCCCUGAUCAAAGAGAACAGUUAGUAGUUCUUAGACGCACUGGAACUGAACUAUAUUAAGCAACAGUUAUCAGCAUGUAUUGAAAUCACCAAUGUUAUGUUUCGCUUAAUGUUUAUCUAUUUUUUAUAGCAAAGUGGUCAACAUUAAUUUUGUUUAAUUGAGCUUUACAAAUAAAUUUCGAUGCUCAAAUAU